Molecule: ribosomal RNA, 468 nt
Filed under: uncultured bacterium
Lineage: Bacteria
Description: partial 16S ribosomal RNA
Rfam family: Bacterial small subunit ribosomal RNA
Source: RNAcentral
GACGAACGCUGGCGGCGUGCUUAACACAUGCAAGUCGAACGGAAAGGCCCUGCUUUCGUGGGGUGCUCGAGUGGCGAACGGGUGAGUAACACGUGAGUAACCUGCCCUUGACUUUGGGAUAACUUCAGGAAACUGGGGCUAAUACCGGAUAGGAGCUCCUGCUGCAUGGUGGGGGUUGGAAAGUUUCGGCGGUUGGGGAUGGACUCGCGGCUUAUCAGCUUGUUGGUGGGGUAGUGGCUUACCAAGGCUUUGACGGGUAGCCGGCCUGAGAGGGUGACCGGCCACAUUGGGACUGAGAUACGGCCCAGACUCCUACGGGAGGCAGAAGUGGGGAAUAUUGCACAAUGGGCGGAAGCCGGAUGCAGCAACGCCGCGUGCGGGAUGACGGCCUUCGGGUUGUAAACCGCUUUCGCCUGUGACGAAGCGUGAGUGACGGUAAUGGGUAAAGAAGCACCGGCUAACUACGUG